Long non-coding RNA from Oreochromis aureus, 907 nucleotides. The record is from Ensembl. NCBI's taxonomy places the organism in Eukaryota, Metazoa, Chordata, Actinopteri, Cichliformes, Cichlidae.
GUAAAGUUGUGAUCACGAUGACUGUUGCGGGCUCAGAAUCUGGGAGUCCUGCUGCGGUUCGCACUUUGAUCGCACAGCGAUCAGGUUAAACCUUUCAGUCCAUUACUUUGAACCCAGGCUCAGAGACCCACUUCCACAUGAGGAAGUCAGUGUUCAUAUUUAGUGAGGGUAGAUAUUGGUGUCAUGGUCUGGGUGAGUCCUGAAGCUUUCUGUGUUGUUGGCAUCUCCACCUCUGGGCGGAGUUCCCUGGUUUCCUCUGACUGGCGACAGCUGUGAGUAUUUAGGGAUUAAAGACCAGCGUUCACAUCCAUUCCUCGCCAGAUCGUCUGCCACCCCUCAUCAGUGAAGCCCAUCGCAGUAAAAGAAUCUUGUCGUAGUAUUUUCCUGUACUGAACUUGUUUUUUCCUCUGCUCACGCACACGGAUAUUCUCCGAUGUUGCUCAUUGGAUUUCGUCUACGCCUCAGCUUGAUCACCUACCCCUCUAUGCUUCGCCUCUCCCUGCAUGAAAUGACUCUGAGAAUACCACCACAUAAUUGCCCUCUGCCCCUCACCUCCCGGUUCCUGCACUGGAUGUUACCCAGUGUCGGGUUCCCCCCCUUGUCCACGACAGCCCCAAGGCUCCCUCAUGGACCCCCUCUCAGUUCACACAGUUAAUGUUUUGUUAGUAUUGUUCUUGUGAAUAUUGGUUCGUGGUGUUUUUGUAGAAGUGUUUAGGUUGUGCUUUUGGUACUGUACUAGGAGCUAGUACUUCAAGGUAUAAUUUUGUUCAUUGCAUGUCAUAAUUUCCUAAGUCUAGGUUCAUAGUUUGUCUUGUCAUGGUUAAUUGGUUAAGCGCCCUCUGCAUCGGUUUUCUUUGUGCUACAACACGUGCCCUGUAAUAAAAGUUUAUUUCACACACCAUCUCUG